AGAGAAACGAAGGAAUAACAAUGAAAAAAAUAAAUAAACAAAUAAAUAAAUAAAAUUGAAAAUAAAAAUUAGUAAAUAAGGUAAGGAAGGAGAAAUAAGGAAAUACAUAAAGGGAGGGGGGAAUAAAAGAAACGAAGAAAGUAAAAGUAAAUAAAUAAGGUAAACAGUAACAAAGAAAGCAACGAAAGUAAGGAAGCAAGGAUAGCAACGUGAAGCAUACAAGGAAUAGCAACGAGCAAGGAAAACAAAACGCAACGUGAAGUAAGGCAAAACAAAUUACGACGGAAUUUACAACAAAACAAAUCGCAAGGGUGAAGCAGAGCAAACAAAAACAAAUUACAACGCAGCUUACAACAAAUCCGCUGCUCAAAACAAAAACAAAAACAAAUCCACUACUGAAAACAAACUGCUACGCUCCCACAAUCAUCAAAAUACCUCCACACAUCCCUAAUGGAAGCACACAGGACUUACCCAGCAUUGCCUUUUCACAAGCCAGCCGAGCACAGGCAGUCAAGAGGAUGGACCCAGUGGAAUGAGCGAGUUGGUAACAAGGGCGGUGUGAACAGAAGAAACGAGAUGAGUGAAAUGAGGAUGUUUUCUUUUUUUUUACUAAAGCUAGACUAAAACUAGUAGAGUAGAACAUUUUUUUGUUUUCAUUCCUCCUUUUUAUUAAAUUUUUUGUUUUCAUUCCUCACUUUUAUUUUUGGUUUUCAUUCUUCCCUUUUAUUUUUAUUUUUUAGGGUUCAUGUUUCCUUUUUUCCACUCAAGUUUUUAUUUUUAUUUUUUUUCCCUUUUAUUUUAUUUUCUUUUCCUUUCGUCUCGUUUUAUUUCCCUUAAUUCCUACUUGGUGUAACUCAUCGCACAAACACCACGCUACCACUCAUAGUCAUAUUAGGUGCCUUUGGAUUAUUUGCUCGCUGCACCAUUUUUCUUCUCCUUCCUUUUCCCUUUUACCAUGUUGCCCACUCUCGUUAGGUAACGCUCGCAUCCGCUAUUUUUCAAGUCCUUUUCUUAUUAUAUUAUGUCUCUACACUAGAAACAUUUUCAC
RNAcentral lists this long non-coding RNA (1048 nucleotides) under Schizosaccharomyces pombe (fission yeast). The record is from RNAcentral. Lineage: Eukaryota; Fungi; Ascomycota; Schizosaccharomycetes; Schizosaccharomycetales; Schizosaccharomycetaceae.